Molecule: ribosomal RNA, 465 nt
Filed under: Vreelandella stevensii
Lineage: Bacteria; Pseudomonadati; Pseudomonadota; Gammaproteobacteria; Oceanospirillales; Halomonadaceae
Description: partial 16S ribosomal RNA
Rfam family: Bacterial small subunit ribosomal RNA
Source: RNAcentral
CCUACGAGAGGCAGCAGUGGGGAAUAUUGGACAAUGGGGGCAACCCUGAUCCAGCCAUGCCGCGUGUGUGAAGAAGGCCCUCGGGUUGUAAAGCACUUUCAGUGAGGAAGAACGCCUGGUGGUUAAUACCCAUCAGGAAAGACAUCACUCACAGAAGAAGCACCGGCUAACUCCGUGCCAGCAGCCGCGGUAAUACGGAGGGUGCGAGCGUUAAUCGGAAUUACUGGGCGUAAAGCGCGCGUAGGUGGCUUGAUAAGCCGGUUGUGAAAGCCCCGGGCUCAACCUGGGAACGGCAUCCGGAACUGUCAAGCUAGAGUGCAGGAGAGGAAGGUAGAAUUCCCGGUGUAGCGGUGAAAUGCGUAGAGAUCGGGAGGAAUACCAGUGGCGAAGGCGGCCUUCUGGACUGACACUGACACUGAGGUGCGAAAGCGUGGGUAGCAAACAGGAUUAGAUACCCCAGUAGUC